This 94-nucleotide ribosomal RNA is filed under the name Prolemur simus (greater bamboo lemur). Lineage: Eukaryota; Metazoa; Chordata; Mammalia; Primates; Lemuridae. The record is from RNAcentral.
GUCUACGGCCAUACCACCUGAAUGUGCCCAAUCUCAUCUGAUCUCAGAAGCUAAGCAGAGUGGGGGGGCCUGGUUAGUCCUUGGACAGUAGUCC